RNAcentral lists this ribosomal RNA (158 nucleotides) under Brucella anthropi. Its description in RNAcentral is "Ochrobactrum anthropi partial 16S ribosomal RNA". It matches the Rfam family "Bacterial small subunit ribosomal RNA", at positions 1375 to 1532 of the family's 1533-position model. Lineage: Bacteria; Pseudomonadati; Pseudomonadota; Alphaproteobacteria; Hyphomicrobiales; Brucellaceae. The record is from RNAcentral.
CGGGCCUUGUACACACCGCCCGUCACACCAUGGGAGUUGGUUUUACCCGAAGGCGCUGUGCUAACCGCAAGGAGGCAGGCGACCACGGUAGGGUCAGCGACUGGGGUGAAGUCGUAACAAGGUAGCCGUAGGGGAACCUGCGGCUGGAUCACCUCCUU